GCUAGCGGCAGGCCUAAUACAUGCAAGCUGAACGGUAAAUAUUGUAGCAAUACGAUAUGAGAGUAGCGUAAGGGUGCGUAACACGUAUGCAAUCUGCCCGCAACAGGAGGAUAGCUCCCCGAAAGGGGAAUUAAUACUCCAUAAGAUCACGAGAGGGCAUCUGAUUGUGAUUAAACUCCAAGGGGUUGCGGAUGAGCAUGCGUCUGAUUAGUUAGUUGGUGAGGUAACGGCUCACCAAGACGAUGAUCAGUAGGGGAACUGAGAGGUUGAUCCCCCACACUGGCACUGAGAUACGGGCCAGACUCCUACGGGAGGCAGCAGUAGGGAAUAUUGGUCAAUGGGUGAGAGCCUGAACCAGCCAUGCCGCGUGCAGGAAGAAAGCCUUCUGGGUUGUAAACUGCUUUUGCCAGGGGAUAAAAUACCCAUGCGUGGGGAAUUGAAGGUACCUGGUGAAUAAGCCACGGCUAACUACGUGCCAGCAGCCGCGGUAAUACGUAGGUGGCAAGCGUUGUCCGGAUUUAUUGGGUUUAAAGGGUGCGUAGGCGGUCUUAUAAGUCAGUGGUGAAAUACGGCAGCUUAACUGUCGAGGUGCCAUUGAUACUGUAGGA
RNAcentral lists this ribosomal RNA (608 nucleotides) under uncultured soil bacterium. Its description in RNAcentral is "bacterial SSU rRNA". It matches the Rfam family "Bacterial small subunit ribosomal RNA", at positions 35 to 640 of the family's 1533-position model. The record is from RNAcentral.